ACAGCAGUCGCCACGGGAAUACGUAGGGUGCAAGCGUUAAUCGGAAUUACUGGGCGUAAAGCGUGCGCAGGCGGUUCGUUAAGACAGAUGUGAAAUCCCCGGGCUUAACCUGGGAACUGCAUUUGUGACUGGCGGGCUAGAGUAUGGCAGAGGGGGGUAGAAUUCCACGUGUAGCAGUGAAAUGCGUAGAGAUGUGGAGGAAUACCGAUGGCGAAGGCAGCCCCCUGGGCCAAUACUGACGCUCAUGCACGAAAGCGUGGGGAGCAAACAGGAUUAGAUACCCCCGUAGUCCCUGUCUCUUAUAC
RNAcentral lists this ribosomal RNA (305 nucleotides) under uncultured bacterium. Its description in RNAcentral is "partial 16S ribosomal RNA". It matches the Rfam family "Bacterial small subunit ribosomal RNA", at positions 505 to 807 of the family's 1533-position model. The record is from RNAcentral.